AUCACCGAAGUCAAGCAUCAUUGGGCGCGGUCAGUACUUGGGUGGGUGACCACCUGGGAACACCACGUGCCGUU
This is a non-coding RNA of Caerostris extrusa, 74 nucleotides long. The record is from the annotation of a GenBank genome assembly. Lineage: Eukaryota; Metazoa; Arthropoda; Arachnida; Araneae; Araneidae.